CAAUAGAAGGAAAGGAGCUGGGAAUUUCUUUUUCUGACAUUGAACGUAUUCUUGUGGGAGAUGUCGAGUGUCAACUUGUCAGUAGUGAAUACAAGCCCGGGACACGAAUAUUGUGUAUAACAAGACCAGCCAACAUCUCGGGCAUUGUGAACAUCACAGUUUGGAUUGCCCAAACCGAAGUGGUCACAUAUGAAAGCUACGAGUACUUGAUUGUCCGCUUGUUUGAUUUCUCUCCUUCGAGGGGUCCUCGCUCUGGUGGCACUCUUCUUAAGGUAAGCGGCACAAACCUGGAUGUUGGGGUCACGAUUGCCGUACGUGUGGCUGGGAUUCCGUGCAAUAUAGAGCAAUGGAACGGAAACGACACUCUAUUUUGUCGCACUGGACGUUUGGUGAACGAGACUACGAGCACAUUACCAAGCAGUUGGUUUAGCGGUAAUGUUCAAGUAUUAAUCGAUAACGCGAUUGCAACAAGCUUCAAGAACUUUUCCUAUACACCCGAUCCUACAAUA
This is a long non-coding RNA of Corticium candelabrum, 509 nucleotides long. RefSeq lists it as uncharacterized. Lineage: Eukaryota; Metazoa; Porifera; Homoscleromorpha; Homosclerophorida; Plakinidae. The transcript is spliced from 4 exons. The record is from RefSeq and is a predicted model, not a curated record.